Molecule: unclassified non-coding RNA, 250 nt
Filed under: Hevea brasiliensis (rubber tree)
Lineage: Eukaryota; Viridiplantae; Streptophyta; Magnoliopsida; Malpighiales; Euphorbiaceae
Source: RNAcentral
UGGGAAAUCCAUACUCAAGAAGAGUCACUCUGAUCUGCAAUGAUAGGACCUUACCAAUUUUCCUGAGACAUUUGCCUUUCAUUCCACAUGAAUUUUGCCCAGCCUUCAAUUUCUGACAUGUUUCAAGAUAGAAACAUUGCCGACCUCACAGCAGAGGCAGCAGAAUAGAUGGAGAAGGCACUCUAUUUUCAUUGACCCACCAUGAGACAUCCACUUUUGGAUUCUAGUUCCUUGACAUCACUUAAUUCAC